AAUAAAUGGUUGUAAAGUUAGUUAAGUAUAGCCCAGAGAAUACACGUCAACUGUGAUUAACUUAUUCUGAAUAUUCAGACACAUGUCAACUGGGCUGUUUGCAAAUCUUUUGGGUCCAGAGGCUACCAAUUCAUGACGCUAAUAUUCUUGGGGAGGUGACCAUAUUUGAUGGCUUUGUAGCAGUGGUUCUCAGGUUUGCCCUUUCUAAGAGGCAUCUAAACAUGAGGAGGAGCUGGCCAAGUGCAGCCCUCCUAAUCAUCCCAGUUGGAAGCCAGGAAUGUCAAAGCAACCAAAAGGGUGUUGAUUGAUAUGUUUGAGCCGGUCCCCAGGCCGAAAGUGUAAAAAGUUAUGAGGGUUUCACUUGGAAGUUUGGCAACUGAUAAGCUUGUAAUGAAUGGCUUUUGGUCUCCAUUUCUUUAUUUUUCUUUUUUGGGGUGACACUCCUGUUUUCCCUUGCUGAUGGGGAAGCAAUUGCUUCCCCUCCUUGCUCAUCCUCCUCACAGAUCUCUCUCUAAAGCAACUCAACCAGAACUGAUAUCUCCCUUCAUUUUUAGUUAAAACUUUCUUGAAGCAGGUAAGGAUUGGGAAAGGCAAAACCGGCCCCGUGGGAAGUUGAACUAAAAGUGGGGUUGUUAAUGCAGUUGCCUGGAUCGAAAAACUCACUCAGGCAAGCAAAAUCCAUCAACUCUUUUGGUUGGCAAGGAUAGUUCUCAAAAGUUAAAACAAAUGGCUGGAAAUGGUUGCGCGUACAAGACAGGCGACAGCUCAAAGUACACAAGGGGUGGUGCAGUCCAUUCCCCUCGAUCAGCGAAGCAUCCGAACGUGUUGUUGGUCAAUUUGUCACAUGGAAGGUCGUAGAAAUGUUUGGCUGAACAAUGAGUGACCCUCCCCAGCAGCACACAUUCACGCACUGAAACACAAAGGAAACCCGUGAUUUUUAGCAGCAACUGCUGGUGCUCCUGUUCCCGAUUGCCAACUGUAUAUCCAAGUUGUAGCUCUUGAGUCUUGUCUUCUCACAUCCCUUUGUCCCUUUCCGGAUUUUGACCUUUCCCUUCUUUGAUUUUUGAAUGACCUAAUUGCUUUCUUCUUAUGGAAAUCAUCUUAAUAAUUGAUAACA
Non-coding RNA from Coffea arabica (coffee), 1117 nucleotides. NCBI's taxonomy places the organism in Eukaryota, Viridiplantae, Streptophyta, Magnoliopsida, Gentianales, Rubiaceae. The record is from RefSeq and is a predicted model, not a curated record.